CCUACGGGCGGCAGCAGUGGGGAAUAUUGGACAAUGGGGGGAACCCUGAUCCAGCCAUGCCGCGUGUGUGAAGAAGGCCCUCGGGUUGUAAAGCACUUUCAGUGAGGAAGAACGCCUGGUGGUUAAUACCCAUCAGGAAAGACAUCACUCACAGAAGAAGCACCGGCUAACUCCGUGCCAGCAGCCGCGGUAAUACGGAGGGUGCGAGCGUUAAUCGGAAUUACUGGGCGUAAAGCGCGCGUAGGUGGCUUGAUAAGCCGGUUGUGAAAGCCCCGGGCUCAACCUGGGAACGGCAUCCGGAACUGUCAAGCUAGAGUGCAGGAGAGGAAGGUAGAAUUCCCGGUGUAGCGGCGAAAUGCGUAGAGAUCGGGAGGAAUACCAGUGGCGAAGGCGGCCUUCUGGACUGACACUGACACUGAGGUGCGAAAGCGUGGGUAGCAAACAGGAUUAGAUACCCUUGUAGUC
RNAcentral lists this ribosomal RNA (465 nucleotides) under Vreelandella stevensii. RNAcentral describes it as "partial 16S ribosomal RNA". It matches the Rfam family "Bacterial small subunit ribosomal RNA", at positions 338 to 795 of the family's 1533-position model. The record is from RNAcentral. Lineage: Bacteria; Pseudomonadati; Pseudomonadota; Gammaproteobacteria; Oceanospirillales; Halomonadaceae.